Molecule: transfer RNA, 74 nt
Filed under: bacterium
Lineage: Bacteria
Description: tRNA-Ala
Rfam family: tRNA
About the family: Transfer RNA (tRNA) molecules are approximately 80 nucleotides in length. Their secondary structure includes four short double-helical elements and three loops (D, anti-codon, and T loops).
Source: RNAcentral
GGGCCCGUAGGUAAGUGGCAUACCGUACCUUUCGCAUGGGUAAAUUGGCGGUUCGAUUCCGCCCGGGUCCACCA